CAUGUCACAGUUGGUUGUAUAGUGUAACGGUGUCACUGGCUUGAAUCCAAUCCUGAGCCAGUCAGUCUACAUCUGUAAAGCAUAGAAAUAACUUCAAAACGUGAUUGCGUUAUUUCUUAAGCUAUUUUAGGGACUCGAUUAGACAAAAUGUACCGUUUGGUGCCAGACAGAUCCCCUGGUUAUGAAUGGAAUGCCGGGACUUACCAGAACUAGCAAAGGUGGGUAUCAUAACAUGUCAAGCAAUGUGAUUGCUAUGGUUUAGCGACCUCUAAAAAUAAUUUCAUUCACUGGUCGCUUGCUAUUUUCGCAGCUUGUCAGGCAGGAUCUCAGAGUAAAAGUGUGUCAUGCAACACAAAUACCCUUGUGGCACCUCCUCCGUUGAUGUCAGAGUCUCCCUCGACUCCUAUGAAAAGGACAUCAUGAAGCCUCACAUAGUGACCAGAGUUACUGCCCUGACGACAGAUGGCUUUGUCAACAACGACAGGCCCUCCCAGCCAACACCACCUCAUCAGAUUGCCUGUUGCAGUUGUUGGAGAGAUGUACAGAGGGCAGCAGAACAUGCAGCAUAGUGAAGACUUGACUUCACUGUGAGCAUAACUAUAAAUGGAUCAGUCAGCCACCUGUUGGCAAGUAUCUGGUUAGACAAACCUGUCAUCGACAACAGCUUUCACAGGCUCAUCAUUUUGUACAAAUACAGAAGAUGCAUAUAAUGUCCAGGUCAUUACCUAACCAGGUGGAACCAACCUGAGGCCUGUGUUCACCAUAUAAUGUCCAGGUCAUUACCUAACCAGGUGGAACCAACCUGAGGUCUGUGUUCACCAUAUAAUGUCCAGGUCAUAACCUAACCAGGUGGAACCGGCCUCAGCCUGAAGUGAAAUAGAAAGGUGAUGUUAGGAAUUUUAUGAAUAAUGACUAAACAAUGUGUACAUUUAAAUAGAACUAUAACUAAUUAAACUCUACCCUGUUUUACAACAUCUGAUUAAUGUUAGUUCAUAAGAAAGAGGUUAUGUAGCAUGGACAAGGGGUAAUUGGAAAUGAUAACCAUUGUGGAAGAAGGAAUGUCUGUGUGUGUGUCUAAAGUAAGCAAAGAGGGUCAUUAACCUAUGUUUGAACCAACUCGGCUAUAACUCUGUGGAUAUAAAAUUAGACAGCGAGAGCCCCUCCAGGUUUUCCGUAUCUGGGGGGGACUGGAACUGUCUGCUAAGUGGUAAUAAACUAUGGUGAGACUUCAGGAGUUAAUCCAGAUAUAGUGUGUCAUGUAUGUGCGCUAGUGAGUUGGAAUUAACUUUUGAAGCUGCUUUGUCCUGGUCGGAGAGGAGGAAGGACAUUUUAAAACCUAUGACAUCAUAUGUAAUAUAUAAACUGAUGUACAUGUUACUAUGAUCAGCGCUCUCGAGAAUAAAUGCUAUUGGCAAAUCUUGAUAGACUGGUCUCUGUCUAUUUUAUGCAAAUGAGGAUCUUACAAAUUCUUAGAAACAGACAGAGUGAUUUAAAUUGAAUUGGUUAAUGAAUAUAUAUAUAUAUAGGAAUUGUUAAAUUCCUUUGACAGGUGAACACAGCGAUCAGGUUGGUUUCACCAGGCUAAUCAUAACCACCAUUGAUAAUGCAAUCAGUGCUCUGUGUGUGUGACCAACCAGUAUCUUAGAUGAGGGGCCAGAAGCUGAUCUAUGCUGCUAUUCUCAUCAAUGGGACUCUGGCAAAGACCUCACCUCCAGCCUGCUCACUGAUGGUCGUCGAUGACAACAGAAUUAGAUGGACUAGAGAUGGUUUUGCCAGCCGGCGUCCUCAGUCACUUGAUGGGUAGUCCAUAAUAGGAAACAUGUAUAGAGCCAGCACAUGGAGACAGACGGGCUUGAUACUGAUGUCUCUGAAUGGAGAGAGACCUGGUACUCAGCAUUAAAAUUUUACUAGACACAGA
Oncorhynchus tshawytscha (Chinook salmon) is the source of this 1918-nucleotide long non-coding RNA. RefSeq lists it as uncharacterized. NCBI's taxonomy places the organism in Eukaryota, Metazoa, Chordata, Actinopteri, Salmoniformes, Salmonidae. The transcript has 5 exons. The record is from RefSeq and is a predicted model, not a curated record.